UAGAGGAAGUAAAAGUCGUAACAAGGUUUCCGUAGGUGAACCUGCGGAAGGAUCAUUAUUGAAUGAACAUAGAGUCGGUUGUAGCUGGCCCCUUUUAACCGGGGGGCAUGUGCACGCCUUCUCUUUUCAUCCAUACACACACCUGUGAACUUGUGAGACGGAUUUCGACCCUCUCCGGGGGGGAAAGGUCCGUCUGCUAUACAUAAACUCCUGAAUAAUAAAUUAGAAUGUAAUCGAUGUAACGCAUCUUUAAACUAAGUUUCAACAACGGAUCUCUUGGCUCUCGCAUCGAUGAAGAACGCAGCGAAAUGCGAUAAGUAAUGUGAAUUGCAGAAUUCAGUGAAUCAUCGAAUCUUUGAACGCACCUUGCGCUCCUUGGUAUUCCUCGGAGCAUGCCUGUUUGAGUAUCAUGAAAUCUUCAAAAUAAAUCUUUUGUUCACUCGAUUGAUUUUAUUUUGGACUUGGAGGCUUGCAGAUUCACGUCUGCUCCUCUUAAAUUUAUUAGCUGGAUCUCGGUGAGCUCGGUUCCACUCGGCGUGAUAAGUAUCACUCGCUGAGGACACUGUAAAAGGUGGCCGGGAUUGCGGAUGAACCGCUUCUAAUAGUCCAUUGACUUGGACAAUAAAUACUUUAUGAUCUGAUCUCAAAUCAGGUAGGACUACCCGCUGAACUUAAGCAUAUCAAUAAGCGGAGGAAAAGAAACUAACAAGGANUCCC
RNAcentral lists this ribosomal RNA (717 nucleotides) under uncultured Ceratobasidiaceae. RNAcentral describes it as "eukaryotic LSU rRNA". The stretch from base 257 to 410 matches the Rfam family "5.8S ribosomal RNA". The record is from RNAcentral. Lineage: Eukaryota; Fungi; Basidiomycota; Agaricomycetes; Cantharellales; Ceratobasidiaceae.